AUUGAACGCUGGCGGCAGGCUUAACGCAUGCAAGUCGAGCGGGGGAAGGUAGCUUGCUACUGGACCUAGCGGCGGACGGGUGAGUAAUGCUUAGGAAUCUGCCUAUUAGUGGGGGACAACAUCUCGAAAGGGAUGCUAAUACCGCAUACGUCCUACGGGAGAAAGCAGGGGAGCUUCGGACCUUGCGCUAAUAGAUGAGCCUAAGUCGGAUUAGCUAGUGGGUGGGGUAAAGGCCUACCAAGGCGACGAUCUGUAGCGGGUCUGAGAGGAUGAUCCACCACACUGGGACUGAGACACGGCCCAGACUCCUACGGGAGGCAGCAGUGGGGAAUAUUGGACAAUGGGGGGAACCCUGAUCCAGCCAUGCCGCGUGUGUGAAGAAGGCCUUAUGGUUGUAAAGCACUUUAAGCGAGGAGGAGGCUACUUUAGUUAAUACCUAGAGAUAGUGGACGUUACUCGCAGAAUAAGCACCGGCUAACUCUGUGCCAGCAGCCGCAGUAA
Molecule: ribosomal RNA, 501 nt
Filed under: uncultured bacterium
Lineage: Bacteria
Description: partial 16S ribosomal RNA
Rfam family: Bacterial small subunit ribosomal RNA
Source: RNAcentral